UACGUAGGGUGCAAGCGUUGUCCGGAAUUAUUGGGCGUAAAGAGCUCGUAGGCGGCUUGUCGCGUCGAAUGUGAAAUCUCAGGGCUCAACUCUGACAUUGCAUUCGAUACGGGCAGGCUAGAGUUCGGUAGGGGAGACUGGAAUUCCUGGUGUAGCGGUGAAAUGCGCAGAUAUCAGGAGGAACACCGGUGGCGAAGGCGGAUCUCUGGGCCAUAACUGACGCUGAGGAGCGAAAGCAUGGGGGAGCGAACAGG
Molecule: ribosomal RNA, 254 nt
Filed under: uncultured bacterium
Lineage: Bacteria
Description: partial 16S ribosomal RNA
Rfam family: Bacterial small subunit ribosomal RNA
Source: RNAcentral